AUUGAACGCUGGCGGCAGGCCUAACACAUGCAAGUCGAACGGUAACAGGAAGAAGCUUGCUUCUUUGCUGACGAGUGGCGGGCGGGUGAGUAAUGUCUGGGAAACUGCCUGAUGGAGGGGGAUAACUACUGGAAACGGUAGCUAAUACCGCAUAACGUCGCAAGACCAAAGAGGGGGACCUUCGGGCCUCUUGCCGUCGGAUGUGCCCAGCUGGGAUUAGCUAGUAGGUGGGGUUACGGCUCACCUAGGCGGCGAGCCGUAGCUGGUCUGAGAGGAUGACCGGCCACACUGGAAGUGAGACACGGUCCAGACUCCUGCGGGAGGCAGCAGUGGGGAAUAUUGCACAAUGGGCGCAAGCCUGAUGCAGCCAUGCCGCGUGUAUGAAGAAGGCCUUCGGGUUGUAAAGUACUUUCAGCGGGGAGGAAGGGAGUAAAGUUAAUACCUUUGCUCAUUGACGUUACCCGCAGAAGAAGCACCGGCUAACUCCGUG
Molecule: ribosomal RNA, 490 nt
Filed under: uncultured bacterium
Lineage: Bacteria
Description: partial 16S ribosomal RNA
Rfam family: Bacterial small subunit ribosomal RNA
Source: RNAcentral